RNA transcript from Brachypodium distachyon (stiff brome), 2138 nucleotides. RefSeq lists it as uncharacterized. The record is from RefSeq and is a predicted model, not a curated record. The transcript is spliced from 4 exons. NCBI's taxonomy places the organism in Eukaryota, Viridiplantae, Streptophyta, Magnoliopsida, Poales, Poaceae.
UCUGGAUACAUGUAAUAGAAAGUAUGGGACGGAGGGAGUACUGGCUGCUGUAAUACUAAGGCUGGUCAUAGUGGGAGUAACAAAUGUGGUAACAUAAGUGCCAACUAACCAAAUUUGGUGAUGUGGCAUCUUAUUAAUGAGGAGAGAAAAGUUUGUGAUAAUUAGAUAUGUUACCAUAACAUCACACAAACCAAAGUAAGAUGAGUCUACAACCUAAUAAAUGACACAAUGCAUGACACCAUAUAUAUAUAUAUUACUAGUUUACUACCCACUAUGGAGGUAGUAACUUAGGUAGUGUUUGGUUCUAUAGCGAGGUGGAAUGGAACGGAACGGUUCUAUUCUUAUAGGAAUGGAAUGUAAUGGAACGGUUUUACUUUUCUAUAUCCUAAGAAUCAAACAUUUAGAUCACUGGUUCUAUUUGGAACCAACUCAUUCUUACAUUUUUGAGGAAUGAGAUGGUUGGCAUAUUGAAGGAAUAUUUCCUUUUGAGAUCAUCCUUAACUUUUGGAACCAAACACAGGAAUCAUCUUUUCUGUGUUCUAAGAACCCAACACGAAAAUCAUCUUAACUUUUGAAACCUUAACUUUUGAAACCAUUCCAUUACACUCCGGUUCGUGUUCUCAGCCAAACACUGCCUCUUCAAAGUAACAAAUACAGUACUACCGAAGAAAAGUUACUUCGUAGAUCUCUUCUCAAAGCGGCACUCCCCGUCGCCGGCGGCCGCCAGAACCUAGUCUGUCCAGCCAAUGCCGGCGGCACCGGCCGCCGCCUCCUGGCGCCGGCAUGCCUCCUCCACGCCCAGAGCCCUCCUCUUCCUCUUCCCGGCUCUCAUCCUCCUCCUCCUGGUCCUCUCCAGAGCCCCAGAUCUCACCUUCUCCCCCACCACUCCCGCCGCCGCCCCACCCCGCCCCCUCCUCUCCGCCCCCUUCGACUGCUACGCCUCGCCGCAGGCCUCGCCGGUCUUCGCCGGCCUCGUGGAGGGCGUGCCCCGCCCCUUCUUCUACUCCCUCGCCGACAUGGGCUCCCUCCCCGACCGCCCGCACAGGAACAUCGCCCGCCUCCUCAAGGGCAAGCGCUUCCGCAAGCCCGACAUCUCCGAGACCAUCCAACAGCUGCUCGGGGGGAAGCUUUCCGGUGAAGGCGGGGUGGUGGUCGACGUGGGCGCCAAUGUCGGGAUGGCGGCUUUCGCGGCGGCCGUCAUGGGCUUCCGGGUCGUCGCUUUCGAGCCCGUCUUCGAGAAUCUGCAGCGCAUUUGCGAUGGAGUGUACCUCAACAGGGUGCAGGACAAGUUGGUGGUGUAUCAUGCUGCGGCUUCUGAUCGACUUGGGAACAUCACAAUGCAUAAGGUUAUUGGACGACUUGACAACAGUGCUAUAUCUGCAACUGGUGCAAAGUUAGCAUUCAAAUCUAAUGAAGAAAUUGCUGUCGAAGUUGCUACAAUCCCAUUGGACGAAGUCAUUUCGGAUACUGAGCGAGUGGUUAUGAUCAAAAUUGAUGUUCAAGGUUGGGAAUACCAUGUUCUGAGAGGUGCAUCAAAGUUGCUCUCAAGGAGGAAAGGUGAAGCUCCCUACCUUAUAUAUGAAGAAGAUGAGCGCCUACUGCAGGCGAGCAACAGUAGUGCACAAGAGAUAAGGGCAUUUCUUGGUAAUGUUGGUUACAAUCACUGUACGCGGCGUGGCACGGAUGCUCACUGCACAAAAGAAUAGACAGAUGAUUUUUGUGUGGUACUUCGACGCUCCUAAGCUGAGGAUUGUAUAUGAACAUUUUAACAGUCAGAUAGGAUAUGCUGAACUAAUUUCAGCAUUUGCUUGGUGACGCAAUGGAAAAAAUUCUGAUUUUGACAGACAUAAUCCUUAGAUGGCAUAUCCGGUCAGGGCCGCACAUGCUUGCUGGAGUGCUUAUCCCAUGGCUGCAGGAAUUGCUCGGAGCCAGAUCAAGCAGAACUUUGCCCCAAUGUCAAUAAGUAAUCUCUAUGUUUAUUAGGUGUACUUUUUUUUUUCCUUUCCAGCAUGUACAAUAUGGUGUAAUUAUAUCAAAUAUUGUAUGAUUUCUUAGAUGAGAUAGAAAUGCAAAUAUGGAAAUUUGAAAUGACAGUGUAAAUAUGGCUUUCUUGAUCCACAUUGUUUUUUGCUUCUUUG